Molecule: transfer RNA, 74 nt
Filed under: Marmota monax (woodchuck)
Lineage: Eukaryota; Metazoa; Chordata; Mammalia; Rodentia; Sciuridae
Description: tRNA.Val
Rfam family: tRNA (bases 9-66)
About the family: Transfer RNA (tRNA) molecules are approximately 80 nucleotides in length.
Source: RNAcentral
UGGGGAACUAGCUCAGUUGGUAGAGUGCUUGCCUUACAUGUAAAAAGCUCUGGCUUCUAUCCCCAGUAUUGCAA